GUUGUGAGACAGUGGCUCGUCAAAGCACUAGGUCUCCUGCUCUAGAGACUUUGUUUUUGACGCGGGAGUUGUAAUAGCGAGCGACUUUCUGUUUGUAGACUGCCAUCCGAACUUGAGCUGCCUCCCACUUUUCUUCUAACAAGUCGAGGUUGGUUUUGAGACCCUGCGAAUUAUGAUGCUCAUUGAAUGCCACGACUCGUACUGACGGGAGUUUGAGCUCAAUUGAGAUAACAGCCUCCAUUCUGAAGGCUAGAGCAAAGGGGGUCUCCCCCGUGGGCAGUCUUUGGGUAG
Molecule: long non-coding RNA, 291 nt
Filed under: Elaeis guineensis (African oil palm)
Lineage: Eukaryota; Viridiplantae; Streptophyta; Magnoliopsida; Arecales; Arecaceae
Description: long non-coding RNA (EGUI_LNC014437)
Source: RNAcentral